Molecule: transfer RNA, 73 nt
Filed under: Parcubacteria bacterium DG_74_2
Lineage: Bacteria; Candidatus Parcubacteria
Description: tRNA-Ala
Rfam family: tRNA
About the family: Transfer RNA (tRNA) molecules are approximately 80 nucleotides in length. Their secondary structure includes four short double-helical elements and three loops (D, anti-codon, and T loops).
Source: RNAcentral
GGGCUCAUGGCGCAGUUGGUAGCGCGCAUCCGUGGCACGGAUGAGGUCGCGAGUUCGACUCUCGCUGAGUCCA